RNAcentral lists this ribosomal RNA (519 nucleotides) under uncultured bacterium. RNAcentral describes it as "bacterial SSU rRNA". It matches the Rfam family "Bacterial small subunit ribosomal RNA", at positions 15 to 518 of the family's 1533-position model. The record is from RNAcentral.
GAUCCUGGCUCAGAUUGAACGCUGGCGGCGUGCUUAACACAUGCAAGUCGCGCGUGAAAGGACUUCGGUCCGAGUAAAGCGGCGCACGGGUGAGUAACGCGUGGAUGAUCUACCCAUGAGUUAGGAAUAACGGCUGGAAACGGUCGCUAAUACCAAAUACGCUCCGAUUUCAACUUCGGGGGAAAGGUGGCCUCUGCUUGCAAGCUACUGCUCAUGGAUGAGUCCGCGUCCCAUUAGCUAGUUGGUGGGGUAACGGCCCACCAGGGCGACGAUGGGUAGCCGGUCUGAGAGGAUGACCGGCCACACUGGGACUGGAACACGGCCCAGACUCCUACGGGAGGCAGCAGUGGGGAAUAUUGCGCAAUGGGCGAAAGCCUGACGCAGCGACGCCGCGUGAGGGAAUGGAGGUCCUCGGAUCGUAAACCUCUGUCAGGAGGGAAGAACCGCCACGGUGCUAAUCAGCCGUGGUCUGACGGUACCUCCAAAGGAAGCACCGGCUAACUCCGUGCCAGCCGCCGC